GUGACCAUGUAUUAGGAAAAUCACUGUCCUAUUUCAAUUUGGCAUCAUUAUCUCCUUUUAAAUCACACAAUGUAAAGUAGGUAAUCUUGCUCUCACUUAGAGGAAGAAGUUGGCCAGUGUAAUCUCCCGGGACCCACAUGUUCACUAGCUUUGUUCUGAGCCCGGAACCUCACCAGCACAACAUGACACAUCUCUUCAGGUACUUAUCCCUGAAGAAGCUGUUUGUUCCUGUGUGAAGCGAGGGUUUGGGGCCACAGGGCCACCCAGUUUGGAAUCCUGGGGUCCCCGAAUGCUCCAGCGCAGGCUGUAACUAGGAGGGUAUCCCUCUGCGGUGAGGGCUGAGCCCCGCCCACUCCCCAGGCCACCUCCACACAUUCCAGGGAGAAAAACAGCUAAUGAUGAAGCAAGCCGUCUCUGCACCGGACUCAGGCCCAUGGCUGCACUCCUAGGGAGAAAGUGGCAUUGCUCCCGUCGCCUCCGGACCCAGCUGUCCUGUGAGUUAGUUACCCUGGCUCUGAAAAAGUUUGCUGAGCAAAUAAUAAUGUCAGCAAGGGUGUAAGAAGAACUUUAAUCUACUUCACAGGGUAUGGUAAGAAGCCAAACUAUUUCUGAGGACGAAAGGACAAUGAGCCUGCUUAUUCCCAGAGAAUUCUAACUGACAAUACUCUAGCUGACAGUAUUAAUGGGGCCCCUACCACGUGCCAGGCACCAGGCUGGUCUCUUCGGGAGCGGUUAGUCCUCACAUUUGUAUCAGUGUCAUUUUGCAGCCAAGAAGACAAACGAAUAGGAAAGAAUAAGUAACUUGUCUAAAGCCCCAGUCAACUCAAAUCCAGUGUCUAAAUUCAAAAUCCAUGACAUUUGCAUUGCUUAAAAAGGACUUCACAAUGAACACUUCUCUUGAAUCCAGAGCCCUCUCCUAAUUAGUGUAACAUGAAGUUUUAAAAAAAGACAGCAUCACUUCUGCCACUCCCAGGAAUUGGGCAGCAGGCCCAGGGAUGGCUCCCAACAGGGUGGCUGGGGGCAGGGGCAUCGCCUGUAAACCCCUUAAGCUGUUCCCACGUUUGACUGGGCCACGGAGUGCUUAAGUGGAUGUCGGAACAGGAACCUGGGGCUCACGUUGAACCAAACAUUUUUAAGAGCUGGCUCAGAAGCAUAUAUUUCUUUCCCCCAAACAAUUCCACCCUGCAAAACCAGGUUUAGAUAAUAAAGUUGCCAUUCUAGCAAAAACAGGCAAAACCUGGGCCCAGUUUGCCAACAGGAAAAGAAGGUGGACAGCUGGAUGUCAUGAGCUCCUCCAAGAGGCGACUCCUCCUCUUGAUCAGGAGGACAACUGGCAGCUACUUAAUAAGCCUCAGCUGUAAAACCCAGAUGCCAGGGCCCAGGACGGAGUGCCGACCUGUGAGGGCAGCUCUGGGAAGGAUCCCGGCUGGGUCACCAGUGUUCUGUGGCUUUUGGAGGAAGCUAUCACCUCGAGAUGUCUCAGAAUAGCCAUGGAAAAGAAAAACAGGGCCUUCAGUGCCUGUGUGCCUGGAGCAAAUUCACUAGCUUCUCUGAGCUGGUUUCCUUAUCCAUCAAUCUACCUCCCGGCCACAGGCCUGGGCCGUGGAGAUCAAAUACUUAAGGCACUGCCACUGUGAGUUUUGGUUAUGAUGGUGACUGUUGCCCCUGGGAGCAUCAAGGUAUUGGAAUGAGUCACUUGGGACAGUGCCAGAGACAAAAGGAUAUGUCACAAUUGUUCCAGACCAUGGCAGUUACUGCUUGCUGCUUAAACUAUUGUCUGACAUCGGUUUUUUCCUAAGGAUCUUUUUAAAAUUGUGGUAAAAUACACAUAAUGUAAAAUUUACUAUCCUAACCAUUCUUAUUUCUUUUCUUUUCUUUUUGGCAGGGGGGAAGGUAGUUAAGUUUAUUUGCCUUUUCAGUAGAGGUACUGGGGAUUGAACCCAGGACCCCAUGCCUGCUAAGCAUGUGCUCUACCACUUGAGCUAUUCCCUCCCCACUACCAUAACCUUCUUAAGUGGAGGGUUCAGUAGUGUUAAGAACAGUCACACUGUGGGACAACCAAUGAGAGUCUAAUCCCACUGAACAGCCCCCACUCCCUCUCCCCCUCAGCCCCCGGCACCCACCAUUCUAUUUCUUGUCUCUGUGAAUUUGACUUGAGGUUUUUUGUUUUUUGUGUUUUUUUAAAUUAGCAAAACGCUUCCACUCUGCAACCCACACGAGCAUUCCACGGAAGGCCUGCUUCACGUCGGAGCAGCAGGGGCAGGUUCUUCUUAGUCAGAGCGGGAGCCACACCCGGCCCAGCCUCAGGUGGGGGCACUUUUCAACACCCUGACUCACCCUCCCCUGCAGCUGGAGAGACUCAUUCCGAGGAAGGGGCUGCACCUGUCUGCCACCCGCCCGCUCCAGCACCCGAGCUUCAGGGCAGCCGGUUAGGCAACACCAGUUGCAUCUCCAUCCUUAGCCAACACCGAGCCCUCAAGCUGGAUCCUGGUCAUUCAGGGAUCUCCGCACUUAGUGCAGCGCGUGUUGAGAUGUCUCGGUUUUCCAGCUACGUGAUCUGAAUGAUACGUCUUGUGGGACUGGAAUGGCCACAUGAAACUGGGUUUUGAAAGCAGCUUCCGGUCUCUGCUGGGGCCACUUGGAGUCUGCUGGAGUGGAGGGGACAGAGAAAGCCUUUGGGCACAGAGACCCAGGAGGGCUUCCACAAAACGGGAACUGGGACCUCCUGAGUGGGCGGAGAGGAUGGGAGGGGCACUGGUGGGCCCGCUCUGCCCCCAGUGGUGGUGCGCCCACCUUCACUGCACCAUCCUCCAUCCUCACCGCCGGGGUACAGCUGGUGCCAUGCUGAGGACGCAGAAGCCUCGGAGCCCCUGGCUGGCACGUGCCCCUUCCAAGCCUGGGAGGAGUCCUAACCUUGUGUUGGGGGUUGAAUUGCAUCCCCCCCCAAAAAAUGGCUAAGCCCUGGCCCCUGUACCUUAGAAUGGGAUCUUAUUGGACCUGGGGUCAUCAAGGAUGUGAUAACUCAAGACCAGGUCAUGUGGAGGAGGAUGGGCCACUAAUCCAGCAAGACUGGUGUCCUUACUAGAAGACAGCCAGUGAAGACAGAGGUGCAGGGAGAAUGCCAUGUGAAGGUGGACGAUUGGUAAAGCCAAGGAGCGCCUGGGGCUUCUGGAAGGAGAGGGGCCUGAAACAGACGUACCCUCAGAGCCCCAGCCCUGCCGACUCCUUGGAUUUCUAGCUCCCAGCAUUGUGAGAAAGCUGUUGUCAAAGCCCCCAGUUUGUGAUAUUUCCUUAAGGCGGCCCUGGGAACCAAUUUCCCCAUGUAGUCAUGUGGUCCUACGUGUUCUUUUUCUAAAAGGGGCCCCAGAGAAGCUUCAGGUGCCACGAAACUUGGAUCUGCACCCACCCAUUCCACUGAUUUAUUUUCUUCCUAGUAUUUAGCUCUACCUGAAGUCGUCCUAGCCAGAUACUGGUUGGUUCAGUCAUGAACCAUCACAUGGGCUCUGUGAGAGGAGGGGCCUUGUGUGUCUGUUUGCCACAGUGUCCCCAGCUCUCUGACAGAGCCUGGCAGGGCUUCCUAACCUUUUGUUGUAAAUGAUAAAUAAAUAAACUGCCUGUUCA
Long non-coding RNA from Camelus dromedarius (Arabian camel), 3621 nucleotides. RefSeq lists it as uncharacterized. The record is from RefSeq and is a predicted model, not a curated record. NCBI's taxonomy places the organism in Eukaryota, Metazoa, Chordata, Mammalia, Artiodactyla, Camelidae. The transcript is spliced from 2 exons.